CGGCGUGCUUAACACAUGCAAGUCGAACGCUGAAGCUUGGGUGCUUGCAUCUGGGUGGAUGAGUGGCCAACGGGUGAGUAAUACGUGAGUAACCUGCCCUUGACUCUGGGAUAAGCCUGGGAAACUGGGUCUAAUACUGGAUACUACACUCUCUCGCAUGGGGGUGUGUGGAAAGGGUUUUACUGGUUUUGGAUGGGCUCACGGCCUAUCAGCUUGUUGGUGGGGUAAUGGCCUACCAAGGCGACGACGGGUAGCCGGCCUGAGAGGGUGACCGGCCACACUGGGACUGAGACACGGCCCAGACUCCUACGGGAGGCAGCAGUGGGGAAUAUUGCACAAUGGGCGAAAGCCUGAUGCAGCGACGCCGCGUGAGGGAUGACGGCCUUCGGGUUGUAAACCUCUUUCAGCACGGAAGAAGCGAAAGUGACGGUACGUGCAGAAGAAGCGCCGGCUAACUACGUGCCAGCAGCCGCGGUAAUACGUAGGGCGCAAGCGUUGUCCGGAAUUAUUGGGCGUAAAGAGCUCGUAGGCGGUUUGUCGCGUCUGCUGUGAAAGCCCGGGGCUUAACCCCGUGGUGUGCAGUGGGUACGGGCAGACUAGAGUGCAGUAGGGGAGACUGGAAUUCCUGGUGUAGCGGUGAAAUGCGCAGAUAUCAGGAGGAACACCGAUGGCGAAGGCAGGUCUCUGGGCUGUUACUGACGCUGAGGAGCGAAAGCAUGGGGAGCGAACAGGAUUAGAUACCCUGGUAGUCC
This 752-nucleotide ribosomal RNA is filed under the name Micrococcaceae bacterium ACEMC 22-4. Its description in RNAcentral is "bacterial SSU rRNA". It matches the Rfam family "Bacterial small subunit ribosomal RNA", at positions 40 to 796 of the family's 1533-position model. The record is from RNAcentral. Lineage: Bacteria; Bacillati; Actinomycetota; Actinomycetes; Micrococcales; Micrococcaceae.